AAAGCUUAACAUUUUCUUUUUCUAAUUCCUCAAACCACCUAAAACCCCUCCCCAAUAUUGAGUAAUUCCAUAAAAAUAUGGAAGAUAUUAUGCUAGAACUAGUAACAAGAAAUAACUUUUCUCCAAAAUGUAAGUCUAAGCCACAUUAGAUAAACUAAUGGCAAUUAACGAAAAUGAACCCCCUUUAGUAACUAAUCAAGAAAAUUCUACAAACCAAAACGUUAACCUUACACUAGAACAUUAAUGGAAAGAUUAAAAGAAAAAGAAGGAACUCGGCAAAUCUUAACCCCGCCUGUUUACCAAAAACAUCGCCUCUUGAAAUCAAAUAUAAGAGGUCUAGCCUGCCCAGUGACAAAUUCAACGGCCGCGGUACC
RNAcentral lists this ribosomal RNA (374 nucleotides) under Mantella aurantiaca. RNAcentral describes it as "partial 16S ribosomal RNA". Lineage: Eukaryota; Metazoa; Chordata; Amphibia; Anura; Mantellidae. The record is from RNAcentral.